CUAUAAUGCAGUCGAGCGAACAGAUAAGGAGCUUGCUCCUUUGACGUUAGCGGCGGACGGGUGAGUAACACGUGGGUAACCUACCUAUAAGACUGGAAUAACUCCGGGAAACCGGGGCUAAUGCCGGAUAACAUUUAGAACCGCAUGGUUCUAAAGUGAAAGAUGGUUUUGCUAUCACUUAUAGAUGGACCCGCGCCGUAUUAGCUAGUUGGUAAGGUAACGGCUUACCAAGGCAACGAUACGUAGCCGACCUGAGAGGGUGAUCGGCCACACUGGAACUGAGACACGGUCCAGACUCCUACGGGAGGCAGCAGUAGGGAAUCUUCCGCAAUGGGCGAAAGCCUGACGGAGCAACGCCGCGUGAGUGAUGAAGGGUUUCGGCUCGUAAAACUCUGUUAUUAGGGAAGAACAAACGUGUAAGUAACUGUGCACGUCUUGACGGUACCUAAUCAGAAAGCCACGGCUAACUACGUGCCAGCAGCCGCGGUAAUACGUAGGUGGCAAGCGUUAUCCGGAAUUAUUGGGCGUAAAGCGCGCGUAGGCGGUUUCUUAAGUCUGAUGUGAAAGCCCACGGCUCAACCGUGGAGGGUCAUUGGAAACUGGGAGACUUGAGUGCAGAAGAGGAAAGUGGAAUUCCAUGUGUAGCGGUGAAAUGCGCAGAGAUAUGGAGGAACACCAGUGGCGAAGGCGACUUUCUGGUCUGUAACUGACGCUGAUGUGCGAAAGCGUGGGGAUCAAACAGGAUUAGAUACCCUGGUAGUCCACGCCGUAAACGAUGAGUGCUAAG
This 787-nucleotide ribosomal RNA is filed under the name Staphylococcus arlettae. RNAcentral's name for it is "bacterial SSU rRNA". It matches the Rfam family "Bacterial small subunit ribosomal RNA", at positions 49 to 820 of the family's 1533-position model. The record is from RNAcentral. Lineage: Bacteria; Bacillati; Bacillota; Bacilli; Caryophanales; Staphylococcaceae.